AAUGGCUUUAGGUUAAAGAGGAGAGAUUCAGGCUUGGCUUGUGCUGCACCUCGAGGAGGCCUCAUUGAGACCUGCUGCAGCCUCUGUGCCCAAACACCCCCUCUUUUGGGGGGAGGCUGAUCCGGCCCAGCCGCAUGAUCGCAGUCAGGUGACGACGCCGAGCACAAAAGCAGCGCGGGAUAAGCAGCUCAGCGUGGCAGAUCAGCUGCUGCCCCGGCCCCUCUGCGAGCUGCUACUGCUCAGGGAAAAUGAGCACCUGGCCCCCUCCUCUGCUCUGGAGCCUCACCACGGUGUGUCUGACAGGUAUUGCUUUAGGCCAGACAACCACCACUCAGGCCCCUGUUGCAUCAACCUCGCUACUUCUGAGUGCUGCUACCACCCAAGUCCCUGUUGCACCAACCCAAAUGUCUUCUGUUGCCACCGCGACCUCAGCCCCCCCAUCCCCAUCUUCUGCUGGAAUGCUCUCAGUUGGAACAGUGACAAACCUCACCAGCCCUACAGUUGUGCCAUCUGCUGUCUCAAGCACAAACUCUCCCUCUCCAACUCUGCCCACCACCCCACGCAUCACUGCACUCACCUCUGGGAUUGCAACCACCCCUCAUGCACCCACAGCACCAAUGGCCACAUCCAGCAGUCCCUGGGCCACCCCUCCAGAUGUAACUGCAUCUCCUGGGGUCCCAUCAGUGGUCCCGUUUCUCAGCACCAUUGAGCCCUCAAACUGCAGCAGAGUGAAUGUGACAACAUGUGCUCCUUGCUCCCCAGGGACCAUUCCCAGCAAUGCACUACGAGGAGCACCGUGUGCUCACCCUGCCUGCCUGGCCACUAUGCCAACGAGUCGGGGGCCGCAGCCUGCAGCGCGUGCCAGAAAGGUUAUUUUAGCUCACAGCAAAAUGCAGCUUCUUGUCUGCCUUGCCUGCCUGGAUCGUUCUGCAACACCACCAGCUGCACGCUGUGUCUGGCCUGUCCUGCUGGGCGUGAGGCUCCACGGGAGGCUGCUGAGGAGUGUACACUGUGCCGGGCAGGUACGUUCAAAGGUCUGGGUGAUGACACCUGCAAGCCCUGCGAGCCAGGGGAAUACCAACUGCAGCAGGGCCAGGAGAGCUGUGACCUGUGUCCAGAGAACCACUACUGCCCUAGCCCAGAUGUGAACCCAAUCAAGUGCCCUCCUGAUGCCUUCUGCCCUGUGGGCAGCACUGAGCCCCAGUACUGCAUGGAGAUCUUCCUGUACAAGGUGGGCAGCUCCUGCCAGCUGACGCCACUGGUGAUCGUCCUCCUGGCCCUCUUCUCAGCAGGCGCAAUUCUUAUAAUCUUUGUACUAAUUCUGAGAAGAAGGCAAGAACACAGCACAAAGUCUUUGAAGUCCCUGCUGCUACCACAAGGAUCAGAGCAGCACACAACGUAUGGAGUGAUGGAGCACACAGAGCCGGUGUAUGCUGGCUGGUAGAGGGGGAAAGGCAACCUGCAAGCACUGUGUUCCCUUUUCUGUAGGGUAAUGCACGCGUGUGCAUAUGUGAAAGAAGUUUGACCGUCACCAACCUAUUUCCGUAUUGCUAAAAUAAGCACAGAGAAAUGAAAUGCAAGUCAUUUUUCAGCUGUGCCUUUCUGUGCUGACCAACCUGGCUGGAUGCUGUUCUACAUCAAAUGGAUUUACAGCAGAAGCUUCCCCCUCUAAUUCCUAGCUCCACUCGCAAUAAAUACUUCUUUUUUUCCUUUCCUUAAGAAAUUUCAGCAGUCAGCUCAACUGCUGGAACAAAGAACAGCUGCUGCAGAUACUGGACUUCCCACAGCACAAUUGCUUCUACCCGAGCAGGAACUAACACAAAUAUUCCUCCUUUAAGGAAGAUGCACGUUUACUUAUUUAUUUGCCCUUCUCAAAACUUUACCUAUACUUGAAACUGAGGGUCAGCUGAAAAAAGGAAUCCCACACUUUUCCCUUCCUCUCAGCUGUGGGAAAACACGUGCAGCUGAACUUAUGGUUGACUCCUGGACAAAUGUGUCCCUUCUGUUUCCUGCUGUGGUGCUGCGGUCUCUCAUGCAGUGCUUCAUAUUACUCCACAGAGCUACAGAAGCAACACCCUCCUCCUCCUUCUCCAGUGCAAUUCAUUCGCAUACCAUGCAGGCUGCAAAGCCCUGCUCAGAUCAUCCAGCUGUGACACUUCCACAGCGCUGUGCUUCAUCAGCUCUGAGAGCCCUGGUAAAAAUAGUACUUAAUAUUGUGAGAGCUGUGCUUUCAAGUGAGUGUGCACGGAGGUGGAAGCAGGUGUUACUUCUCACUGGAGCCCUUUCCCUGAGCUAAAGCAGCAGCAGCCAGCUGAAGGAACCCAGCUGGUGGGGGUUAAGUGGCUGCUGCCCUCCACUGCUCAUUCUUCUCAUCCCUGGGGAGGUUAUUGUGCUUUUCAAGAAAAAGGAAAUAAACAACCGCCAAAAAAAAAGCAGUUCUCUGAUCUGUUUCAGAUCUGUCAGAUGAGUAAACGGACGGGAAGAGAGGUGUGUUAUCCUCUGUGGUAAGCAGUAAUGCAGCUGGUAGCCCUGCCACCUGGAUCAGCAGCAGCAUGGACCAAUCACACACCAAGCUCAGUCCCACCCCAAAACCCUUUCUGCCCUCAAUCUCCACUUUCCCACUGAAAGCUGGUUACCUCCUGUCCUCAUGCUUUGUUCUUUCCUUCCCACUCCUCCUCACUCCCAGCUACUUGCUUGAAAUGUGCUGGCUCUCAGAAUCCCCCGUUCUAAGAGGAAAUGGGUCCUUUGCAGCAGUGACCACCUGGGGACAGGAUGGGGCCCUCUCCUUGUGGCUUAUGUGGCUGCAGGAAAUGAUGCCCAACACCCUCUUGUGUUCUUCAGUCCUGAGAGCUGGGGCACAGGGUGUGCACAGCCCUUCUGCUGGGCUCUCUGAUGCUGUCCAUAGCACGCAGGCACUAAGUUUCUCAGUGGGCACAGUCAGGGCUUUCCAGAGGAGCAGCAAAAGGAUGGAGUCCUGAUAACAGAGCACCAGGUUAUCUCAGCAGAACACUAAACCAACAGUGCCAAAGCACAUUUCGGAUUUGCUCUUAAAGAAGCACAGCUGCAGGCAGGCACAGAGAUUCCACCCAUGAAGGAAACCUGGCUGAGAAAGAAAAAUAUGGGUGAAUUAAAACCUGACCCACCAGGAACACCAGCAGUGACAGCUGAAUGGAGCUGGUAGGACUGCGUGAUUGCAGCUCAAAAUAUUUGAAGUCUGUCAAAUUCUGAGUAACAGAAGACAGCUCUGUAACAGGAGAA
RNAcentral lists this long non-coding RNA (3258 nucleotides) under Gallus gallus (chicken). RNAcentral's name for it is "lncRNA (ENSGALG00010018900.1)". The record is from RNAcentral. Lineage: Eukaryota; Metazoa; Chordata; Aves; Galliformes; Phasianidae.